AAAGUCGUAACAAGGUUUCCGUAGGUGAACCUGCGGAAGGAUCAUUAACACGUUUCACAACGUAUCAACCAAACCGCGAACUAUGAACGUCUUUUUUAUUCAUGUUUUGGGAGGGCUGUUGGCCGGGACGGACAUGGCUGUCAUGGCUAUGUUGAACAGAAAGUGGUGCGCAAGCGCUACCUCUCUGUGUACGAACCAGCCACUCCCCUUCUAUGAACAUGUCUUAUUUAACCCAAACCCAUUUGUUUAUUCAUUUAUUCUUAAAGAUACGCCCUUGUGGUGAGUCUUUAAUACAAACUUGUACAACUCUUAGCAACGGAUAUCUUGGUUUCC
Molecule: unclassified non-coding RNA, 333 nt
Filed under: Basidiomycota sp.
Lineage: Eukaryota; Fungi; Basidiomycota
Description: partial contains small subunit ribosomal RNA, internal transcribed spacer 1, and 5.8S ribosomal RNA
Rfam family: Eukaryotic small subunit ribosomal RNA (bases 1-47)
Source: RNAcentral